GACACACACAGGUACAAUCUUUGCAGGGCCAUGUGUUCUCAUAUUUAAAUUUUUUAAAAUUUUUUAAUUUAAAUUUUUAAAAAUAAAUUUUGAAAUAAUUUUAGAUUUAUGGAAAAGUUCUAAAAGUGUUACAGAAAAUGUCAUAUAUCUUUCACCCAGUUUCCCCUAAUGUUAAUGUCUCUAACAUAUAUCCAUCAAAACUCACCAGUUAACACUAGGACUUUCAUUCUGAACUCCAGAAUUUACGUGAAUUUCACCUGUUUUUCCACUAUUGUCCUUUUUCCGCUGUAGGACCCCAUCGAGAUUUCCACAUUGCAUUUAGUUGUCACGUCCCCUUCAUCAAGUGUGUGAUGAGGCAAUCCCUCAGAUGUUCCUUGUUUUUCAUGGCCUUGGUGGAUUUGAGGAGUAUUAGUCAGAUAUUUUGUAGACUGCUCCUCGAUUUUGGCUUUUCCUCAUGGUUAGUCUAGGGUGACCACUUGUUAGGAGGAAGACCACAGAGGUGCAGUGCCGUUUUAUCAUGUCGUAUCAGGGGUACUUGCUUUCAACACGACAGCACUGGUGCUGCACCUAGAGAGGCCUUUCCGGGCUACCCUAACCCAAGGAGGUGUUUCCAGCUUUUCUCACUUUAGCCUUUAGUCUUUUCUGCAGAGCACUUAUUGUAAUUGGGGGUUGUUGUUGGCGAUUUCUCUGUUUCUCUAACUAGACCUUAAGCUCUACGAGGGCAGAACUGUCUUUAUCUGCUCAUCUCUAGCACCAUGCCUGGCACAUGGCUGGCACUCAAAAUGUUUAUUUAAUAAAAAGUACAUUAUUGUUUUCCUAUGUAGAUGCACAAACAUUCUUAUUAUAAAGAUAGAUAAUACUUAUUUCUCCAUUUAUUAUCUAGUGGGAUUCUGAGAACUGUGUUCUCAUGUCCCCUUUCCUUUGCUUCAAUCUGUUUCUCCACAGCCCUGAAAUAACUGAAUGGCAAGAACAAAAUCCAAGCAAACAAAAACAAACAAACAAAAUCCUAGAAUUUGUUUGACUCUUAAUUCCCUCAAUUCCCUCAGCUGGCUUUUCCUUUUAUCUGCUUUGCAGCUGAAGACCCUAGAAUGGCCGAAGGGAGAAAUGGUCUUUCUGCAAUUCCAGGGCCAGAACCUCGCGUGGGCAAGUGCCUUCCGCUUCAGUGUGGCCACGGCCUGUGGUGAUGGAGUCGUAGUUCACCGACAAACACAUGGAGUCACAGAUGAAGAAAUCCAGGUGGUGCUUUUGAGGGGAUUUAUCCAUAAUGGUUUUAGCCUCAGCGAUCUUCUUCCCCUACACCUACACCUGCAGCAUGAGGGCCUCUAGCACUGUCUUCACCUACCAUCCACUGGCGGUGACUUGCACGGCUGUGUCUCCAGUCCAGGCUGCUUGCACAAAGCAUUGCAGGGUGAGUCUGGGAGUCAGGAAAGCUGGUCCCAAAGCAGCACAGGAACCAGUCACCUGUGUCCUUGUAGGAGACAAAGAGUGCAUCCCUAUCUUUGCUUAAACAUCUAUAAUAAAUGGCCAUGAUUAUUGAUGGGUGGGGGUUGGGGUGGUAGAUGAGUAAAUUGAGAUGAAUCAGUGGGAACCCAUCUCAAACACUGAAAAGACAACAGCUAAUUCUGUGGUUGAUUAUAUCCAUGGAUGCAGAAUCGAUGAAUAUGGAGGGAUGAGUGCAUAUUUUGUUUUACAUUACCCUUUUGAAUUUUUAACAAAUAAACAGGCCCAUGGAAACAUCACUCAGUUAAAAAAAUACAACAUAACCACUGCCCCGUAGCUUCCCUCUUGCUCUCUCCAGUCAUUACCCUUUCUCAAAAGGUAACCUAUUCUAUCUUUAUAGAAGACUUAUGUCGAUGGAAUCACACAGCCUGUUUAUAAGAUUUAUACCUGUUGUGAAUAGCUGUGGUUCACAACAAAGUAUAACAAGUUCAAGAACAAGUUUAUGCUGAAUAGACCACAGUUUAUUAAUCCUGUUUGCUGUUGAUGAACAUUUGUGCUGUUUUUAGUUUCUGGGUACUUUAAAUCAUGUGCUAUGAAUGUUCUUGUAGGUGUUUUUGGUGCUCAUAAAUAUUUGUUUAUGUUAGCUAUAUAAUCCAAAGUGGGAAUUAGGUCAAAGGGUAUGGUGAAUCUUCAGAUUUAGUAGGUAAUGAUAAAAGCUGUUUUCUAAAGUGGUUUCACUCACUUGCAUCCAUACCAGCAGUGUAGGAGAGUUUCCAUUAUUCUACAUCCUCACCAACACUUGCUACAGUCUGUUUUGAAAGAAAAAGUAGGUGUGUGAUGACGUUCCAUUUGGUCUUAAAGUGGAUUUUCCUAAUACUAAUGAUGUUGAAUAGUAUUUCAUAAGUUGAUGUUAUUUGGAUGUCCUCUUUUAAAAAUGGCUUGCUUAUUAUUUAAAACUGGCUGCUGGUAUUCCUUAUUGAUUUACAGUGGCUCUUAAUACACUCCGAAUACAGGUCCUUUGUUGAAUAUGUAUGUGGCAACUGUCUUCAAGUUUUCACUCUCCUAAAGUUGUCUUUUGAUGAACAAAAGCUGUCUUUUGAUAAAGAGAAUAAUGCAUUCCAAUUUAUGAUCUUUUCCUUUAUGUUUACUUCUUUUUGUGUUCUACGUAUGAAAGGUUGUCACGUUAUCAUCCAGGAACUUUAUUGCUUUAUCUUCCACAUCCAGAGCUCAUCUGUCUGGAAGUGAUGUGUGUGUGUGUGUGUGUGUGUGUGUGUGUAUGGUAUUUGAUGGAGGAUUAAGAUUCAUUUUUUAGAAAUAAGGAUGUCUUAUUUCUUCAAAAACCUUUUAAUGUAAAGAUCAUCCUUUCCUCACCAAAUUGCCAAUGUUGUUCUUCUUCAAGACAGCUGUGGCUAUUGCAGGCUCUUUGAAUUUUCAUGUCAAUUUUAGAAUCUCCUGUCAUAUUCACUAAAAAAUUUCAGCAAAGGUUUUUGAUUGUGAUUGUAUAGAAUCUAUAGAUUAAUAUAAAGGAAAACUGACAUCUUAGCAAUGUUGACUCCUCCAUUACUUAAUUAUAACAUUUCUUUAUACAUCUAAGUCUUCUUUAUUUUCUCUCAGUAAUGUUUCUUUGCUUUCUGUAUUGAGUUUUGCACAUCUUUUAUUAGAUUUAUAUUUUGGUAUUAGUUUCUUAAAAUAAAAAUAUUAUUUAAAAAUCAUGUUAAAAAGUUCUAUUUUUAAAUUCUUUUUGGCUGGUAUAGUAGUCUCUCAUUACCUCUGUUUUUGCUUCCUGCUGUUUCAGUUACCCGUGGUCAACUGCAGUCCAGAAAUAUUUAAUGGAAAUUCCAGAAAUAAACCAUUUACAAGUUUUAAAUUGUGCUAUUCUGAGCAGUGAGAUGAAAUCUCCUGCCAAUCUGCUCCGUCCUGCCCACAUGUGAAUCAUCCCUUUGUCCAGCUACCCGACUUAGCCACCUUGGCUAUCAGAUAGACUGUCAUGACAUGGCAGUGCUUGUGUUCCAUGAAUCCUUUUACUUAAUAGUAGCCCCAAAGCACAAGAGUAGUGAGGUUGGCAAUUUAGCUAUGUCAAAGAGAAGCCACAGAAUGCUUCUUUUGAAUGAAAAGGUAAAAGUUUAUCAAUGGCAUGUAGGUAUAGGAAAAACAUAGUGUAUAUAGAGUUCAAUACUAUCUGUGUUUCAGGCAUUCGUUGCAGGUCUUGGAAUAUAAGGC
Molecule: long non-coding RNA, 3660 nt
Filed under: Microcebus murinus (gray mouse lemur)
Lineage: Eukaryota; Metazoa; Chordata; Mammalia; Primates; Cheirogaleidae
Description: lncRNA (ENSMICG00000048195.1)
Source: RNAcentral